UACGGAGGGGGUUAGCGUUGUUCGGAAUGACUGGGCGUAAAGCGCGCGUAGGCGGAUCAUCAAGUCGGGGGUGAAAUCCCGGGGCUCAACCCCGGAAUGGCCUUCGAGACUGGUGGUCUUGAGUUCGAGAGAGGUGAGUGGAAUUCCGAGUGUAGAGGUGAAAUUCGUAGAUAUUCGGAGGAACACCAGUGGCGAAGGCGACUCACUGGCUCGACACUGACGCUGAGGUGCGAAAGCGUGGGGAGCAAACAGG
RNAcentral lists this ribosomal RNA (253 nucleotides) under uncultured bacterium. RNAcentral's name for it is "partial 16S ribosomal RNA". It matches the Rfam family "Bacterial small subunit ribosomal RNA", at positions 524 to 776 of the family's 1533-position model. The record is from RNAcentral.